This 253-nucleotide ribosomal RNA is filed under the name uncultured bacterium. RNAcentral's name for it is "partial 16S ribosomal RNA". It matches the Rfam family "Bacterial small subunit ribosomal RNA", at positions 524 to 776 of the family's 1533-position model. The record is from RNAcentral.
UACGGAGGGUGCGAGCGUUGUCCGGAAUCACUGGGCGUAAAGCGCACGUAGGCGGCUUCUUAAGUCAGGGGUGAAAUCCUGGAGCUCAACUCCAGAACUGCCUUUGAUACUGAGUAGCUUGAGUCCGGGAGAGGUGAGUGGAACUGCGAGUGUAGAGGUGAAAUUCGUAGAUAUUCGCAAGAACACCAGUGGCGAAGGCGGCUUCCUGGUCUGCGACUGACGCUGUGGCGCGAAAGCUAGGGGAGCGAACGGG